AUUGAACGCUGGCGGUAUGCUUAAGACAUGCAAGUCGUGCGGUAGGGGCUUCGGCCCUGAGAGCGGCGGACGGGUGAGUAACGCGUGGGAAUCUGCCUGCUAGUGGGGGAUAGCCCGGAGAAAUCCGGAUUAAUACCGCAUACGCCCUAAGGGGAAAGCCGCAAGGCGCUAGUAGAUGAGCUCGCGUAAGAUUAGCUAGUUGGUGAGGUAAAGGCUCACCAAGGCGACGAUCUUUAGCUGGUCUGAGAGGAUGGCCAGCCACAUCGGGACUGAGACACGGCCCGGACUCCUACGGGAGGCAGCAGUCGGGAAUAUUGGACAAUGGGCGCAAGCCUGAUCCAGCAAUACCGCGUGUGUGAAGAAGGCCUGCGGGUUGUAAAGCACUUUCAGUUGGGAAGAUAAUGACGUUACCAACAGAAGAAGCACCGGCUAACUCCGUGCCAGUAGCCGCGGUAAGGCACGACUGU
RNAcentral lists this ribosomal RNA (467 nucleotides) under uncultured bacterium. RNAcentral describes it as "bacterial SSU rRNA". It matches the Rfam family "Bacterial small subunit ribosomal RNA", at positions 30 to 533 of the family's 1533-position model. The record is from RNAcentral.